GGGCUUGCGUUCAAUUAGCUAGUUGGUGGGGUAAUGGCCUACCAAGGCGAUGAUUGGUAGCUGGUCUGAGAGGAUGUCCAGCCAGAUGGGGACUGAGACACGGCCCUAACUCCUACGGGAGGCAGCAGCAAGGAAUAUUGGGCAAUGGGCGAGAGCCUGACCCAGCGACACCGCGUGAGGGAAGAAGGCCUUCGGGUUGUAAACCUCUUUUCUCGGGGAAGUGACAGUACCCGAGGAAUAAGUCUCGGCCAACUACGUGCCAGCAGCCGCGGUAAUACGUAGGAGGCGAACGUUAUCCGGAUUUACUGGGCGUAAAGCGGGUGUAGGCGGUUUUCUAAGUCAGGUGUGAAAUCUUCUGACUCAAUCAGAAGGGGUCAUUUGAUACUGGAGAACUUGAGGGCGGCAGAAGGAAAUGGAAUUCCCAGUGUAGCGGUGAAAUGCGUAGAU
Molecule: ribosomal RNA, 447 nt
Filed under: uncultured bacterium
Lineage: Bacteria
Description: bacterial SSU rRNA
Rfam family: Bacterial small subunit ribosomal RNA
Source: RNAcentral